UUUUUAAGCAGCUGUAAAACCCCGAGCGCACCCGUCCCUGUAGCAAAAGGGUGGGAAGACUUAAAAAUAGAGGCAAAAAGCCAACCGAGCUUGGUGAUAGCUGGCUACUCAACUAAAGAAUUUAAGUUCUACUUUAGGCACUACUUGAGCCAACCAUCCAACAAAACUCACCCCUUCUACACCUAAAGAAAAUCAAUGGGGGUACAGCCCCAUUGAACCGGAAUACAGCCCGAACUGAGAGAAAUAUCAAGCCCUUCUCCCGUAGGCUUCAAAGCAGCCACCAGAUAAUCGCGUUAUAGCAUGUUCACUAAACAAUUCUAACAAUUUAAUCAACCUCCUAAUCUACAAUGAGUUACUCUAUACCAAUAUAGAAACACUAAUGCUAAAAUUAGUAAUAAGAAACACUUAUUUCUCUCUGCACCCCCUUAAAUCAGAAUAGAAAAACUACUGACAAUUAACAAACCAACAGACACCCACAACACACCUAGCCAAAAUGUCACUAAAAACUUGUUACCCCAACACAGGUGUGCAAAAAAGAAAGACAAAAGGCCGCAAAAGGAACUCGGCAAAAUUUAAUCCCAACUGUUUACCAAAAACAUAGCCUUUAGCCCCACAAGUAUUAAAGGUCCCGCCUGCCCAGUGACUCUUUAAACGGCCGCGGUAUCCUAACCGUGCAAAGGUAGCAUAAUCACUUGUCCCUUAAAUAGGGACUGGAAUGAACGGCUAAAUGAGGAUUAAACUGUCUCUUGCGAGCCGGUCAAUGAAUUUGAUUUUCCAGUUCAAAAGCUGGAAUAAACACAUAAGACGAGAAGACCCUGUGGAGCUUCAAAACCUAGUUCACCAAAUAAUGUUUCCUUCGGUUUUUAGUUGGGGCGACUUCGGAGCACAAAAAAACCUCCAAAACAUGUAAACCCAUUAUAUUAAGAUCAACAAACCACAAAACCACAAGAUCCAGCAACAACCCUUAAUGUUGUCUGACCAAUGAACCAAGUUACCCCAGGGAUAACAGCGCCAUCCCCUUCUAGAGUCCCUAUCGACAAGGGGGUUUACGACCUCGAUGUUGGAUCAGGACACCCCAAUGGUGCAGCCGCCACUAAAGGUUCGUUUGUUCAACGAUUAAAGUCCUA
This 1127-nucleotide ribosomal RNA is filed under the name Darevskia parvula. Its description in RNAcentral is "partial 16S ribosomal RNA". It matches the Rfam family "Bacterial large subunit ribosomal RNA", at positions 733 to 2598 of the family's 2925-position model. The record is from RNAcentral. Lineage: Eukaryota; Metazoa; Chordata; Lepidosauria; Squamata; Lacertidae.